CCUACGGGCGGCUGCAGUGGGGAAUAUUGGACAAUGGGGGGAACCCUGAUCCAGCCAUGCCGCGUGUGUGAAGAAGGCCCUCGGGUUGUAAAGCACUUUCAGUGAGGAAGAACGCCUGGUGGUUAAUACCCAUCAGGAAAGACAUCACUCACAGAAGAAGCACCGGCUAACUCCGUGCCAGCAGCCGCGGUAAUACGGAGGGUGCGAGCGUUAAUCGGAAUUACUGGGCGUAAAGCGCGCGUAGGUGGCUUGAUAAGCCGGUUGUGAAAGCCCCGGGCUCAACCUGGGAACGGCAUCCGGAACUGUCAAGCUAGAGUGCAGGAGAGGAAGGUAGAAUUCCCGGUGUAGCGGUGAAAGGCGUAGAGAUCGGGAGGAAUACCAGUGGCGAAGGCGGCCUUCUGGACUGACACUGACACUGAGGUGCGAAAGCGUGGGUAGCAAACAGGAUUAGAUACCCGAGUAGUC
Molecule: ribosomal RNA, 465 nt
Filed under: Vreelandella stevensii
Lineage: Bacteria; Pseudomonadati; Pseudomonadota; Gammaproteobacteria; Oceanospirillales; Halomonadaceae
Description: partial 16S ribosomal RNA
Rfam family: Bacterial small subunit ribosomal RNA
Source: RNAcentral